Molecule: ribosomal RNA, 460 nt
Filed under: uncultured bacterium
Lineage: Bacteria
Description: partial 16S ribosomal RNA
Rfam family: Bacterial small subunit ribosomal RNA
Source: RNAcentral
CCUACGGGAGACAGCAGUGAGGAAUAUUGGUCAAUGGACGAGAGUCUGAACCAGCCAAGUAGCGUGAAGGAUGACUGCCCUAUGGGUUGUAAACUUCUUUUAUAUGGGAGUAAAAUAUUCCACGUGUGGGAUUUUGUAUGUACCAUAUGAAUAAGGAUCGGCUAACGCCGUGCCAGCAGCCGCGGUAAUACGGAGGAUCCGAGCGUUGUCCGGAUUUAUUGGGUUUAAAGGGAGCGUAGGUGGAUGGUUAAGUCAGUUGUGAAAGUUUGCGGCUCAACCGUAAAAUUGCAGUUGAAACUGGCAGUCUGGAGUACAGUAGAGGUGGGCGGAAUUCGUGGUGUAGCGGUGAAAUGCUUAGAUAUCACGAAGAACUCCGAUUGCGAAGGCAGCUCACUGGACUGCAACUGACACUGAGGCUCGAAAGUGUGGGUAUCAAACAGGAUUAGAUACCCCAGUAGUC